This is a non-coding RNA of Doryrhamphus excisus (bluestripe pipefish), 1660 nucleotides long. NCBI's taxonomy places the organism in Eukaryota, Metazoa, Chordata, Actinopteri, Syngnathiformes, Syngnathidae. The record is from RefSeq and is a predicted model, not a curated record.
GCCCUUAUUGACUCAGUAAUUAAAGUAUUUUAAGGUGGAGAUGCUGUAAUGGCGACCUACGCCGCCAUCUGUCCCAUCUCGCCUCAGGAAGGGCGCCUGAGAUGGACGCUUCUCAUCCAGCUGAUAAGGCCGAGAAGGCCGCUAGAGAGCUUUGCGCUGUUCAGACAUGAUGCGGCCAAGUCUAUUGGUGCCUCCCGGAUACACCUUUAUGCUGAUGACUAACCCAGCUCUUCUAGGGAAAACACAUCAAUACCUCAGCAAGUUCUUGCAAGUUCCCCAUAACAUCGAUCACCUGAGAUCAAUUAGGAAAGACAACAGAAUCUGAUGUCGGGUAGAGGGCGGAGCUGGUCUCGACUCCUUGCUGCUGAUUGGCGGAUACAGACAUGUAGGCGGGCUGUGCCGGGGACUCGCUCUUCACCGAGUGGUCGACGGCGGCGCUGGCCUUGUUGCGAUUGGCUAGAAAGCAGGAACUGGGAGACGCCAGGAAGGCGGCUUUGCUGGCACCUGGAAAAGCAGACACAGUCGGAGUCAUCACGCCCAAGUUUUUCGGCCAAAUUUUGCCUGGGUUUCCAUACACCGCGUGCCCAGUACUGUAGCACUAAUCCAGUAAUUCAGUUCCCAAACAAAGAACCCUACAUGUUGCCAAGUCACUUUAAUUGACUGUUAAAUAACCUGCCAUGGGGCCAAAGACAACAAAUAUGAGAAACUAUUGAAUUCAAGAGCAAAACUCAGGGCAAAGUAGGAUGGUGUUCCAUCCCCUCCCCAUCCUAUUCUGUCAGUCGUACCUGCUUUCUUCAUGUGUUUGUCCAGAAGGUUCUGCAGGUCUUGUUCCUUGUCGUUGUUAAACUGAGUUUCCAGAGCCAACAGGAUGUACUCGUCCAGCAGCAUCCGGAUCAGAUGGAAGGAACCUGAAGACGGCCCAGGUAGACGUAGUUAUAUUUAUAUAAGUACACAAUAAAAAUCACUUCUCCUUGUGAAGCUUGAAUGUUUCUAUCGGAUGUCUUUAGUCGGGUCUGUCGGGAUUAACAGGAAGUACGUGACAGGUUCUACGGUGCAUGAACACAGGACCUUCAGGACCUUGCUGUUCCUGGGUUUGUCCAGCAGGGCGACAGCUGCCGUGCCGGAGCGGCGUCGGAGCUCAGCGGGAGGAAGCGGCCAAAUGCUGGAGGCGUUGUUGAGCGUGAGGUUGUGCAUGACUCUGGCGCCGAAGAAGCUCCACCUGAGCAGGAACUCCUGAGCUCGCUUCUUCACCGAGCGGCCCGUCUGCUUGCCCGGCUGCUCGCCCGCAAAGAAAACAAAAAAAAAACAAAACAAAGUGAGUGGACUUGCUGGUGUUUGCUGCGUGAUUUUGAGGUAAACACCUUGAUGACUUUGUGCUCCACCACGGAGUCCAGCCACUCGAUGAAGGAUUCCACCGUAGCAUUCUUCCUCAGCAGCUCCUUCAGCUCCUGGAAUACAGCAAUGGCGUCGUCUGCGGGAAAACAAGUGGCUUUGUCAUGCACUGCAAGAAAUGACUCCUUUUUUCUAACAGUCUCCUAACGAGAUCAAACUAUUUGAACAAACUAAUCCUAGUGAAGACCCUGGCAGAGGUAAUAUUGAACACUGUACUUCCUGUCAGUGAACCACCUUGGUGGAGGUAAUACUGAGGACCUGGAGGUAA